UUGACGGCCAUGAUGGAGAGAGUAAGCUUAUUCGACAGUUCAGAGAACCGGUGGGUGGUGCGAACCGGUCUGGAGACGAAGCCGAAGUUCAUUCCGAAGCUGCCAGGUGAACGCCCGCUGAGGUCAGUAGUCUGCGCCGGAAGCAUUCCGAUGCUUCCGUUAUCAAAUUCGAGUGAAAGGCAAUUUCGCCUUUUAUGAGGGUGGUACCGCGAGUUUGUCUCGUCCCUUUU
Molecule: non-coding RNA, 230 nt
Filed under: Alicyclobacillus sp.
Lineage: Bacteria; Bacillati; Bacillota; Bacilli; Caryophanales; Alicyclobacillaceae
Description: T-box sequence
Rfam family: T-box leader
About the family: Uncharged tRNA acts as the effector for transcription antitermination of genes in the T-box leader family. T-boxes are found upstream of many aminoacyl-tRNA synthetase genes and some amino acid biosynthetic genes usually in Gram-positive bacteria.
Source: RNAcentral